AGAGUUUGAUCCUGGCUCAGAUUGAACGCUGGCGGCAUGCUUUACACAUGCAAGUCGAGCGGCAGCGCGGGGGCAACCCUGGCGGCGAGCGGCGAACGGGUGAGGAAUACAUCGGAACGUACCCCGGAGUGGGGGAUAACUCGGCGAAAGCCGUGCUAAUACCGCAUAUGCUCUGAGGAGGAAAGUGGGGGAUUCGCAAGAACCUCACGCUCUGGGAGCGGCCGAUGUCCGAUUAGCUUGUUGGUGGGGUAAUGGCCUACCAAGGCGACGAUCGGUAGCUGGUCUGAGAGGAUGAUCAGCCACACUGGGACUGAGACACGGCCCAGACUCCUACGGGAGGCAGCAGUGGGGAAUUUUGGACAAUGGGGGCAACCCUGAUCCAGCCAUGCCGCGUGCGGGAAGAAGGCCUUCGGGUUGUAAACCGCUUUUGGCCGGGAAGAAAAGGCGCCACCUAAUACGGGGCGUUCUUGACGGUACCGGCAGAAUAAGCACCGGCUAACUACGUGCCAGCAGCCGCGGUAAUACGUAGGGUGCGAGCGUUAAUCGGAAUUACUGGGCGUAAAGCGUGCGCAGGCGGUUUGUUAAGUCUGAUGUGAAAGCCCCGGGCUCAACCUGGGAAUGGCAUUGGAAACUGGCAAGCUCGAGUUUGGCAGAGGGGGGUGGAAUUCCGCGUGUAGCAGUGAAAUGCGUAGAGAUGCGGAGGAACACCGAUGGCGAAGGCAAGCCCCCUGGGCUAAGACUGACGCUCAGGCACGAAAGCGUGGGGAGCAAACAGGAUUAGAUACCCCCGUAGUCC
Molecule: ribosomal RNA, 796 nt
Filed under: uncultured bacterium
Lineage: Bacteria
Description: bacterial SSU rRNA
Rfam family: Bacterial small subunit ribosomal RNA
Source: RNAcentral